RNAcentral lists this long non-coding RNA (1770 nucleotides) under Fragaria vesca (wild strawberry). Its description in RNAcentral is "long non-coding RNA (FVES_LNC001998)". Lineage: Eukaryota; Viridiplantae; Streptophyta; Magnoliopsida; Rosales; Rosaceae. The record is from RNAcentral.
UUCUUCAGUUGUAAUCUUCUUCUCGUUUAAUGGAUCCAUCAUCAUCACCCGAGGAGGUAGGUCAUGUGAUUUGAUUGAACCUCGUUAAAUAUCUUGUGUUCAUGUUACACUGUUUCUGGUCAUUGUCUUCAUUCGGUUUCGGUCCUGGGCUAGGGAAUUCGGAGGGUGACCCAGAUUUCCUAACAAAUUCUUCACCAGUUCGAUGCCGCUUCCCAGUUUUGCUUGACGUUGUCUUGCCAACUUUAUUGGAAUUUAGUAGGGUCAAUAUUUAGUGUUUCCUACAUCGUCUACAUUCGAGUAACUUGUAUCGCUCAACCUUACUAACUUGAAUAAAAAAAUAGAAAAUAUCUACGAGGAUCGUUUAUAUUUUGAGUCAUUUUUUCAGAUUGUAAGGUAGCAUGUAAUGUUAACUAGUCUAAACGUCAAACUUUACACUAAUUAUGUAAUAUAAACGUGAAAAUAAUGAUUGUAUCAACCUAUCAUGGGUUGUAUGGAAAAAUGAGAGAGGUCAUUUGAACCCUCUCACUCUCAUGACCAUUGCUGCCUCAUAGUUUACUGGAGAUUUACUACUUCAAGAAGUUAUGAUCAGACGUUUUGGUCUAUCUUUUGUUAUAAGUGUGCUAUUUGUUACUUCUGUUUUGUAUUAUCAUCACUUGUGGCACUUCAGUAUGAAAUAUGAAUGCAAUGAAAAGGCAGCAGCUUUGUAAUGUUGGCAAAUGGCAGCUCUAGUACUUAGCAGUUAACCAAAAUUCACAAUUUCAAGUCUUCAAUAUGAAAUGUUGCAGGUUGCCAUCUCCAUUCAUAUUCUCACUAAACCAAUUGAACGUAGGCAGAUGCAGAUCAGGAGCCUAGAAGUCUGGGGUCACCAGAUCCUUUGAAGUUUGAACCAGAAUCACUAAGAUCACAAAACAAUAAACCCUCACAACCAUGUCCCAAUUAUUCACAAGUUCAAUUGGAUUAAGAGAAGCCAGUAUGAACAACACAAACACAAACACAGAAGCAGAAUCAGUACCAUAAAAUUCUCCAGACUACAAAAGAGAUCACAAGGUCCACAAAAUCUGCAAUCAUAUUGAAACACAACCCUUACAACUCAUGCAGAAGCAAGCAUGUAAAACAUAGCAUCACAGUUCUCUACUGCCCUGAAUUGGAAUCGGGAAAAGGACUAAACCACUCUGCACCAUCUUCUCCAAAGGCCAAAACAGUGGUUUGGGGAGGUCGUCCCACUCGUACCAACCCCAGCCCUCACACUUGUCCGGCUCAACAGUCUGGGGAACUUGAUCGGGAUCUUUCAUACCCGCGCGCAUGAAGAUGGUCACGUAAUGCGCCGGUUUGGGUUCGUCCAAGAACAAGUUGUUCGUCACCGUCACAAACUCGAGCUUGUCUACUUCCACACCAGUCUCUUCCUUCAGUUCUCUCGCCGCACACUCCUCAAAGCUCUCGCCUGUUCAAAAACAAAUCCCACAUCGGAUAACAUAAAGAAAGAUUGGAAUAAAGGGUAAAGCAACAUUGGAAUAAUGGUAUAUGACCUUGAAUUGUCCAUGCUAAACUCCAUGAUUUCCAAUAAAGACUAAGCAACAUUGCAACAAUAUCAAUCCAUGCCACCUUGUGCAGCUUGCAUGCAGUAGUGGAUGCUCAAACUAAUUCAUUUUGCUCCUUCUGUCAAAUAACUUAAUUUGCUGUCUCACUUAAAGUACAAUUGUCAUGAUAUGAUAUAUAGUUUUUUAUGUACCAUGUAAUAAUUGACUUGUUUUUAGCGUCAAUUUUGUUUUG